RNAcentral lists this ribosomal RNA (427 nucleotides) under uncultured bacterium. Its description in RNAcentral is "partial 16S ribosomal RNA". It matches the Rfam family "Bacterial small subunit ribosomal RNA", at positions 354 to 796 of the family's 1533-position model. The record is from RNAcentral.
GUGAGGAAUCUUCCACAAUGGGCGAAAGCCUGAUGGAGCAACGCCGCGUGAAGGAUGAAGGUCUUCGGAUUGUAAACUUCUUUUAUGAGUGAAGAAUAUGACGGUAACUCAUGAAUAAGCACCGGCUAACUACGUGCCAGCAGCCGCGGUCAUACGUAGGGUGCAAGCAUUAUCCGGAGUGACUGGGCGUAAAGAGUUGCGUAGGCGGUUAUGUAAGCGAAUAGUGAAACCUGGUGGCUCAACCACACAGACUAUUAUUCGAACUGCAUAACUCGAGAAUGGUAGAGGUAACUGGAAUUUCUUGUGUAGGAGUGAAAUCCGUAGAUAUAAGAAGGAACACCAAUGGCGUAGGCAGGUUACUGGGCCAUUUCUGACGCUAAGGCACGAAAGCGUGGGGAGCGAACCGGAUUAGAUACCCUGGUAGUCC